Molecule: RNA transcript, 1748 nt
Organism: Oreochromis niloticus (Nile tilapia)
Lineage: Eukaryota; Metazoa; Chordata; Actinopteri; Cichliformes; Cichlidae
Gene name: zinc finger protein 782-like
Exons: 2
Source: RefSeq, a predicted model, not a curated record
GAGCCGAAUACACACCUACGCAUUCACUCCGGAGAAAAUGUGUACUGGUGUGAUCAGUGUGGCAAAUACUUUACAACAGACGCACAGUUACAAAGCCACAUGUUUACCCACACUGAGGAGAGACCUUAUCAAUGCGACCUGUGUGAGAAGACUUUUAAAGCUCCGCGUCACCUGAGACGACACCAACAGAUCCACACCAGAAAGAGACUCUACAAGUGCAGUUACUGUGAGCGGCUCAUUCCUCUGUCAGGUGUACAUGGAAUAAUAUAAAACUUAAGUUAAGUACAAAACCAAACCAUUCAGUAAUCUUCUCUUAUGGUUAACAAAGUUGUAUCGUUAUGUAAUGAUAUUGUAGUAUUGUAGCUGUAGUAUCAUUGCUUCCUUAUAGUUUUAGUACUUUUAAACAUUAUUGUUAAAAUAUCCAUUUAAUGUUAUAAUUGCAGUGUCAUUGGGGGUAAUAGUGUUUUUCUUGUAUCCCGGUCAGCUGAGUGUUAUAAUUGCACAAUUACAGUGUUAUUAAUGCAGUGUUAAAUUAGUAUUAUUGCAGUGUUACAGUAGUUUAGCAUGGGUACCCUAAAAACAGUAGCGUGGUAGUACUUGAGUGUAAGUGAGAUGUUACUGUAAUAUUAAAUAAGUAUUACUGUAGUAUUAUGGUGAUAGUAUUGUACUUAUUGUAGCCCAGUAAACUGAGUGUGUUAAUUGAAACAGUAAAAUGUAAUUGGACGUCUGCAGAGAUGCUCUUCAUUUCAGGCGAUGUUCAGGAUAAAAGUGUUGAAGGACUGACUUACACUGUCUUUGUGUCUUUGUUUAGAAGCAGAGCGACACAGAUGGAUCCACUUCUCAACCCUGUCAUCGCUGUGGCGGUGGGAAAGACUUCCGUUGUGACAUCUGUGGAAAAACUUUCAGUCGGCAAGCCGGCCUAAAAAUACAUCAACGUAAACACACUGGAGACAAACUGAAAUACUGCAAAGAAUGUGGGAGAAGCUUCCCCACAUCACGUGAGUUAAAACAACAUGAACUCUUUCACAGUGGGGUUAAAAAGCACCUCUGUGAUCAGUGUGGGUCAUCCUUCACCACUGCAAGUGACCUUAAAACACACAAACGAGUCCACACAGGAGAGAAACCAUACAAGUGCAGACACUGUGACAAAAGCUUCUCACAGUCAGGUAAUCGUAACCAGCAUGAACGUACACACAUGGAAGGAAACUACAGCUGUGAGCAGUGUGACAAGAGCUUCAGUAAUCUCAGUUCAUACUCCGCACACAAACGAUCCCACGUUACUAAUAAACUGUUUCACUGUUACCAAUGUGCCAAAACAUUCACUUCAUUAUCUGCUCUGUGCAAACAUCAGCGUGAUCACGCAGGGCUGAAAUCGUUCCCAUCACAGGACGACAGCGAAUCUGAAGAGAGAGAAACAUCCUCUUCUGGUUUCAGAGUCCAACUUAAAACCCUGGAGAUCAGGCUCCACAGAGUUCAGAUCGGCUCUCCUUAAAGAUCUAAUGAGGCUAUGAAUCAAAAUGUUCCUGUAGUUCCAUUUUAAUCUUUAUAAACUGUUCUUCUGUAGUGUUUGUGUUCAGUGGUUACCUUUUUUUUUUUUUUUUUUUUUUUUCAGUGGUUGGAUGAAAAAUCAGUUUCCUGUCGUUCAAGUUUUUAUUGAAUGUAUUUUAUUAAAGUUCUUAAAGUUCUUUUUGAGUUUUUUUUUGUUUAAGUUCUUAAAUAAAGUUAAAAAAAUGUUAAAUAAAGAAUUG